RNAcentral lists this ribosomal RNA (446 nucleotides) under uncultured fungus. RNAcentral describes it as "eukaryotic LSU rRNA". The stretch from base 73 to 226 matches the Rfam family "5.8S ribosomal RNA". Lineage: Eukaryota; Fungi. The record is from RNAcentral.
CCCGCCGCAGGACCGAAUAACUCUGCUCCCAUGAACUAUACAGUCCGAGCGAUUAUUUAUAAAUCAAAUCAAAACUUUCAACAACGGAUCUCUUGGUUCUGGCAUCGAUGAAGAACGCAGCGAAAUGCGAUAAGUAAUGUGAGUUGCAGAAUUCAGUGAAUCAUCGAAUCUUUGAACGCACAUUGCGCCCCUUGGUAUUCCGAGGGGCAUGCCUGUUCGAGCGUCAUUUCACCAAUCAAGCCCCGCUUGGUGUUAGGUGCGGCCCGCGCUCUCGAGCGGCGGGCCCGCCCGAAAUGCAUCGGCGAGGACACCGACCCCCGGCGUGUUAGAUUUUCUGACGUCGGGAGCACCGGUUGGCCUCCGCCGCGCGACCUUUCAUUUAUCAAGGUUGACCUCGGAUCAGGUAUGAAUACCCGCUGAACUUAAGCAUAUCAAUAAGCGGAGGA